CCGUAUCGAGGGUGAUGGCCUGUGACGGCGGGACCAGCUCUAACUUCUUGCCCCACCCCCACACUUGCCCGCCAGCCUGUACGUGACCUCAUUUACUGUCGCCAUCUGACCCACACGUGGCGGGAAACCUGAGCACUAGGAGGAACCCACCUGGUCCCAGGGAGAAUGUUCAAACUCCACACAGUCAGGACCUGAGGUGCUGUGAUACCUCAGUAGAGCCAGUGAAGGCAACUUUAUCGAUGUCUCUGUGGCAGGCUAUUGCCGCCCCAGCAGUGGGUCCGAAACCUGGAACGAUGUUCACCACACCGGGAGGGAACGGAACCUGAAAUGAAGAAAUGGAUUUGCAUGUUAAAGAUUGGAAUCUGCAACCACUUGCCCGCCUUCAGAGUAUCAGCAGAUUUUACACUGGCUAUGGGUAUUAAUGCAGGAUAUCAGAAAGCAGCUUUAUACUUCGAGCUGGAGACUGGAAGUCCUUGCAAUAAGUUACCAACGUACCGGGGUGAUCUGAC
Amblyraja radiata (thorny skate) is the source of this 509-nucleotide long non-coding RNA. RefSeq lists it as uncharacterized. The transcript is spliced from 3 exons. NCBI's taxonomy places the organism in Eukaryota, Metazoa, Chordata, Chondrichthyes, Rajiformes, Rajidae. The record is from RefSeq and is a predicted model, not a curated record.